Molecule: ribosomal RNA, 253 nt
Filed under: uncultured bacterium
Lineage: Bacteria
Description: partial 16S ribosomal RNA
Rfam family: Bacterial small subunit ribosomal RNA
Source: RNAcentral
UACAGAGGUGGCAAGCGUUGUUCGGAAUUACUGGGCGUAAAGGGCGAGUAGGCGGCUAUCUAAGUCAGACGUGAAAUCCCCCGGCUUAACCUGGGAACUGCGUCUGAUACUGGACGGCUUGAGUUUGGGAGAGGGAUGCAGAAUUCCAGGUGUAGCGGUGAAAUGCGUAGAUAUCAGGAAGAACACCCGUGGCUAAGGCGGCUCUCUAGUACGGUACUGACGCCGAGACGCGAAAGCGUGGGGAGCGAACAGG